Molecule: ribosomal RNA, 404 nt
Filed under: uncultured bacterium
Lineage: Bacteria
Description: bacterial SSU rRNA
Rfam family: Bacterial small subunit ribosomal RNA
Source: RNAcentral
UGGGGAAUCUUAGACAAUGGGCGCAAGCCUGAUCUAGCCAUGCCGCGUGAGUGACGAAGGCCUUAGGGUCGUAAAGCUCUUUCGCCAGGGAUGAUAAUGACAGUACCUGGUAAAGAAACCCCGGCUAACUCCGUGCCAGCAGCCGCGGUAAUACGGAGGGGGUUAGCGUUGUUCGGAAUUACUGGGCGUAAAGCGCACGUAGGCGGACUGGAAAGUUGGGGGUGAAAUCCCGGGGCUCAACCUCGGAACUGCCUCCAAAACUACUAGUCUAGAGUUCGAGAGAGGUGAGUGGAAUUCCGAGUGUAGAGGUGAAAUUCGUAGAUAUUCGGAGGAACACCAGUGGCGAAGGCGGCUCACUGGCUCGGUACUGACGCUGAGGUGCGAAAGUGUGGGGAGCAAACAGG